CAACUUGCAUUUGAACAAUCAUGAUUUGUCCCCCGAGGCGUGCAGCGAGUGUGGCCAUAUGAAGUGCCCAUGGUGCAUUGUCGAAGAUUAAUCCACGCGCAGAAAUCCAAAUUUAUGUCCGUAUUCACAGGAUUUAUCACAACGGUCUGCUGCUCCGUUAACAUGGGCUUCUCGUUUGGAGUUUUGAGUUGGUAGAGGGCAUAGCAUGGGAGUUAACAAAAGUAUUCCGUUCACAACACAAACGUCGAUGUUCUCCUUCCAGAUCUCUCCUUGAUCAAGUAUCCCAGUAUUUUGAGUUCUGCUCUCUUUUGUCACACUAGUUAAUAUCUUUCCUUUCGUAUUUUCGAUUUCGUCUGCAGCUGAGAUUUAAUUUACCGAUGUUUCUGUUGUGCUACUUUCGUUCUCUUUUAAAUUUCGUUUCUCUCCAUACGUUUUCUGAUUUUAUUCUAUAUCAUUAGUCUACUUUGCUUAGCAUGUUGCUUUUUCUGCCCUUUUAUUCAUCAACCUUGUUCUCUGCUUUCCGUUACCCACCAAAUGACUUUAUAGAUGAUCCCCUUUACUUUGCUUCCUGUUUUAUACCACA
Molecule: small RNA, 583 nt
Filed under: Histoplasma ohiense
Lineage: Eukaryota; Fungi; Ascomycota; Eurotiomycetes; Onygenales; Ajellomycetaceae
Description: hypothetical lncRNA
Source: RNAcentral